AAAGCAGUAUUAUAUAUGGUCAAUGGUCCUGGUGGGAUCUUCCGGAACCCCCAAAAAAUCUGUGUUACCGGAAGUCCCUAGUCCGUGUACAAAUAAGUGGUAGGCAAUCAGUCCAGUGAGUUUCACCCAGAAGUCAGAGGGGUUAGACGUGAAGGCUCUUACAUAUAAGAGAAAUUUUGGCCUACGGGAGGAGCAGAUGUCAAGCUCUGCCCUUUGAAUUUUAAGAUAUAUUGUAUACCUUUCUGUUGCAUGGGACCGCAAUUUAAGAUAUAUCUUGAUAUAUUGUUUUAAGGUGGCAAGAAGAAGAUGGAGCGUUCCCGAGAGGAGGACGAUGAAGAUGACGGUAAUGAGGUCGUGGAUUCCUCCUCCGGUGAUGGAGUUAGCAAUUGCUUCGACAAUGAAGGAGAUGAGGCCUAGUUGUUCCUUCCAAUUAACUGCUUAUAUUUUGUUUGCUAAAACUCGAUCCGACUAUUAUUAUGUUUGUUGAAAUUACUACUUGUGCACUUUGGAUUAAUGUGUGUGUGUUUGAAACUUUAUAUAUUUUGAAUUGCA
Molecule: non-coding RNA, 552 nt
Organism: Punica granatum (pomegranate)
Lineage: Eukaryota; Viridiplantae; Streptophyta; Magnoliopsida; Myrtales; Lythraceae
Source: RefSeq, a predicted model, not a curated record